GACACAUCAGCAUAUUAACAGUUCCAUAGCCUGGUACCAGCAAAAAGUUGGAAAAGCUCCCAUACUCCUGAUAAGAGAUGCAAGUUUUUCUCUAACAGACACCCCAUCAAGGUUCACUGGGAAUGGAUUUGGCACAGAUUUCACACUCAGCAUCAGCAGUAUGCAGUCUCAAGAUGGUGCCACAUAUUUCUGCCAGCAGCAUUUUCACUAU
Non-coding RNA from Mus musculus (house mouse), 211 nucleotides. The record is from the annotation of a RefSeq genome assembly. Lineage: Eukaryota; Metazoa; Chordata; Mammalia; Rodentia; Muridae.